CGCGUAGGCGGGCGGCCAAGUCAGGGGUGAAAGCCUCCAGCUCAACUGGAGAAGUGCCUUUGAUACUGGCCAUCUUGAGGGAGGUAGGGGCGUGCGGAACUUCCGGUGGAGCGGUGAAAUGCGUAGAUAUCGGAAGGAACACCGGUGGCGAAAGCGGCGCGCUGGACCUCUUCUGACGCUGAGGCGCGAAAGCCAGGGGAGCAAACG
RNAcentral lists this ribosomal RNA (207 nucleotides) under uncultured bacterium. RNAcentral describes it as "partial 16S ribosomal RNA". It matches the Rfam family "Bacterial small subunit ribosomal RNA", at positions 568 to 774 of the family's 1533-position model. The record is from RNAcentral.